Molecule: ribosomal RNA, 91 nt
Filed under: Gossypium arboreum
Lineage: Eukaryota; Viridiplantae; Streptophyta; Magnoliopsida; Malvales; Malvaceae
Source: RNAcentral
GGGUGCGAUCAUACUACCACUAAUGCACCGGAUCCCAUCAGAACUCCGCAGUUAAGCGUGCUUGGGCGAGAGUAGUACUAGGAUGGGGGAC